AAAUAAAAUUAAUAAAUAUUUACGAAAUGAACUUACAUGAAAAUAGUUUAAUAACCAUCAAAGUUAGUUAAGUAAACGAGAAAUAUAUUAUUAUAGGUUUAGUGUAUGUAGAUAUCACAAUGAUUCACAGUUUGUUUAUCAUCAACGCUUCAAUGCCCUUGUUGGUUUGUUAGUUUACACCGAUCAUUUAUGCAGUUUAGGAACUUGUGUUUGAUUGCUGUGGAUGGCAGACGUUUGUGGCUGUUCAAAAGACAUCAGGCCAUGGAAAAA
Molecule: long non-coding RNA, 270 nt
Organism: Xenia sp. Carnegie-2017
Lineage: Eukaryota; Metazoa; Cnidaria; Anthozoa; Malacalcyonacea; Xeniidae
Exons: 2
Source: RefSeq, a predicted model, not a curated record